This 576-nucleotide ribosomal RNA is filed under the name uncultured eukaryote. RNAcentral's name for it is "bacterial SSU rRNA". It matches the Rfam family "Eukaryotic small subunit ribosomal RNA", at positions 203 to 783 of the family's 1831-position model. The record is from RNAcentral.
CAUUUAUUAGAACAAAACCAAUUGGCCUCGGCCAUACAUUGGUGAAUCUGAAUAACUACGCGGAUCGCACGGUCUCGCACCGGCGACGUAUCCUUCAAGUGUCUGCCUUAUCAACUUUCGAUGGUAGUUUACAUGACUACCAUGGUUGUAACGGGUAACGGAGAAUUAGGGUUCGACUCCGGAGAGGGAGCCUGAGAAACGGCUACCACAUCCAAGGAAGGCAGCAGGCGCGCAAAUUACCCACUCUCAGCACGAGGAGGUAGUGACGAAAAAUAACGAGACAGUUCUCUAUGAGGUCUGUCAUCGGAAUGGGUACAAUCUAAACCCUUUAACGAGGAUCUAUUGGAGGGCAAGUCUGGUGCCAGCAGCCGCGGUAAUUCCAGCUCCAAUAGCGUAUAUUAAAGUUGUUGCGGUUAAAAAGCUCGUAGUUGGAUCUGCGGUCUCGGAUGCCGGUCCCCCACUGGGAGUGAACUGGUACUCCAGGCCUACCUUGACGGUUUUCUCCUGCUGCUCUUCGCUGAGCGGCUUGAGUGGCUGUCGCAGUUACUUUGAUAAAAUUAGAGUGCUCAAAAGCAG